UGAGUAACCUGCCCCAGACUCUGGAAUAACCCCGGGAAACCGGAGCUAAUACCGGAUACGAGACGAAGCUUCAUGGCUAUCGUCUGGAAAGUUUUUCGGUCUGGGAUGGACUCGCGGCCUAUCAGCUUGUUGGUGAGGUAAUGGCUCACCAAGGCGACGAUCCGUAGCUGGUCUGAGAGGACGAUCAGCCACACUGGGACUGAGACACGGCCCAGACCUCCGUACGGGGAGGNAG
RNAcentral lists this ribosomal RNA (235 nucleotides) under uncultured bacterium. Its description in RNAcentral is "partial 16S ribosomal RNA". It matches the Rfam family "Bacterial small subunit ribosomal RNA", at positions 118 to 351 of the family's 1533-position model. The record is from RNAcentral.